Molecule: ribosomal RNA, 243 nt
Filed under: uncultured bacterium
Lineage: Bacteria
Description: partial 16S ribosomal RNA
Rfam family: Bacterial small subunit ribosomal RNA
Source: RNAcentral
GCAAGCGUUGUUCGGAAUUCCUGGGCGUAAAGGGCUCGUAGGCGGCCAACUAAGUCAUACGUGAAAUCCCUCGGCUUAACCGGGGAACUGCGUCUGAUACUGGAUGGCUUGAGUUCGGGAGAGGGAUGCGGAAUUCCAGGUGUAGCGGUGAAAUGCGUAGAUAUCUGGAGGAACACCGGUGGCGAAGGCGGCAUCCUGGACCGAUACUGACGCUGAGGAGCGAAAGCCAGGGGAGCAAACGGG